UUUUCAGAUCCAUGGCAGCCA
RNAcentral lists this non-coding RNA (21 nucleotides) under Rattus norvegicus (Norway rat). The record is from RNAcentral. Lineage: Eukaryota; Metazoa; Chordata; Mammalia; Rodentia; Muridae.